GUAGGUGGCAAGCGUUGUCCGGAUUUAUUGGGUUUAAAGGGUGCGUAGGCGGCUUAUUAAGUCAGUGGUGAAAUACUCUAGCUCAACUAGAGGGGUGCCAUUGAUACUGAUGAGCUUGAGUACAGAUGAGGUAGGCGGAAUUGACGGUGUAGCGGUGAAAUGCUUAGAUAUCGUCAAGAACACCUAUAGCGAAGGCAGCUUACUAGGCUGUAGCUGACGCUGAGGCACGAAAGUGUGGGGAUCAAACAGGAUUAGAUACCCUGGUAGUCCACACUGUAAACGUUGAUUACUCGCUGUGUGCGAUAUACAGUACGCGGCCAAGCGAAAGCGAUAAGUAAUCCACCUGGGGAGUACGCCGGCAACGGUG
This 367-nucleotide ribosomal RNA is filed under the name uncultured Bacteroidota bacterium. Its description in RNAcentral is "bacterial SSU rRNA". It matches the Rfam family "Bacterial small subunit ribosomal RNA", at positions 527 to 896 of the family's 1533-position model. The record is from RNAcentral. Lineage: Bacteria; Pseudomonadati; Bacteroidota.